UUUCCUACGGGAGGCAGCAGUAGGGAAUUUUGCGCAAUGGGCGAAAGCCUGACGCAGCAACACCGCGUGAAUGUUAAGCCCUUCGGGGUGUAAAGUUCUGUCAAUAGGGACGAAUUUUGACUGUACCUAUAAAGGAAGCACCGGCUAACUCCGUGCCAGCAGCCGCGGUAAUACGGGGGGUGCAAGCGUUGUCCGGAAUCAUUGGGCGUAAAGCGUUCGUAGGCGGCAAAGUAAGUCUGAUGUUAAAGCCCGGGGCUCAACUCCGGUUCGGCAUUGGAUACUAUCUAGCUAGAAUGUGGUAGAGG
This 305-nucleotide ribosomal RNA is filed under the name uncultured bacterium. RNAcentral describes it as "bacterial SSU rRNA". It matches the Rfam family "Bacterial small subunit ribosomal RNA", at positions 335 to 657 of the family's 1533-position model. The record is from RNAcentral.